UUCUAUCUAAUAUUUCCUGCUGCUCACACUCAAGAAAACUCUGGGGAACUGUGGGGGUGGUGGGUAAACGCCCCACAGAAGAUCUCUUGCAAGCCUGUAAUCUUUGGGAGGCAAGAGUAGGAGGAUCACAAGUUCAAGGCCUAUCUGGACUACUUAGUUUAAAGUCAUCCUACAGCUGGGCAGUGGUGGCGCACGCCUUUAUCCCAGCACUCAGGAGGCAGAGGCAGAGGCAGGCGGAUCUCUGUGAGUUCAAGGCCAGCCAAACAAAGGGGGGAAAACAAGUCAUCCCAGACAAGUUAGUGAAACUGUCUCAAAAGCAGGGCCAGGGCUGGAGAGACGGCUCAGUGGUUAAGAGUACCGGCAGCUCUCCCAGAGGACCUGAGUUCAGUUCCCA
This is a non-coding RNA of Peromyscus maniculatus bairdii (prairie deer mouse), 394 nucleotides long. The record is from RefSeq and is a predicted model, not a curated record. NCBI's taxonomy places the organism in Eukaryota, Metazoa, Chordata, Mammalia, Rodentia, Cricetidae.